RNAcentral lists this long non-coding RNA (2224 nucleotides) under Homo sapiens (human). RNAcentral describes it as "HSALNT0061203". The record is from RNAcentral. Lineage: Eukaryota; Metazoa; Chordata; Mammalia; Primates; Hominidae.
GCCUAGACCACUAAGGGCCGUGACGUGGUGCCGCUGAGCUUGGACCCCGACCAGAAGAUAGAGAUUGAAACGAUGAGGAAAACGAAGUGCCUAAUCCCCGCUGGACGCUAACUGCAGGGCAAGCUCCCCAGUGUUGUAGUUGUGUUUCGGAGGCCGAGAACCGCUAUCGGGCUUCCUCGGACUCUGGCCCUGGAGGGGGGAAACGGCGAGGGAGAAGGCGAAACGAGUCUCCAGUGUGUUCUUGGGGCCUGGUGCGAGGCCCAGAGAAUUCUCUGCAGGCCUUUGCCCGGGCACUGAUUAAGGCUGCGAAGAGACGCACCGGGCUGCGGGCUUAGUAGCUUCAGGCUUCUGAAGUCAGAGGGAGGGCUGAGAGCUUACACUUCUGGAGCUCCCCGGGAGACGGCAACUACCCAACCGUGUGGGUGUGUUUGUGUAUGUGUCUUUUGUUGAGCUUCGGCUGGCUGUGUUAUUCAUUCAACAAAUAUUUAUCGAUCUUCGGCAGUGUGUCAGACAUACCUUCUUCUCAAAUCUUCACAUCAAACCUGAAUUAUCUCCAUUUAAUGAUGAGGAAACUCGGGCUCAAAGAAGUUAAGUGUUCUAGCCAAGACUGCAUAGACCCAGAAAUACUCUCCACACCAUGCUGCACUGCUGCGGAUGAGGGAAGGAUGGUGUCGGGGCUUCAAGACUGUUUUUCCUACCUCUUCAGUGCCUCUUUCAGUGAUAUGAAGUUAAAACCAGGAACAUGGAGGAGACAUAUUUCCACCUAUUUCUCUCCAUAAGUAUAAAAGACCAUAAAAGACCAUCUAGGGACUUCAGAACCCAAAUAAUGACACAAUGGUGAGUUCCCUGGGUUUUCUUUUUUGCACUGUAUUUCCCAGACUUGGAGCUGAAGAAGUCAGCAACAUAGAAACACCAAUGGACACAAACAAACGUAGCCCAAAUAAAAGCCUGUUCUCAUUAACCAGUGGACCAGGAAAAGGCAGCCUAGCAAGGCAGAAAACUUUUAGACGAUAACUGUAAUAAUUUCUGUACUCCAGCCAAGCACCAAAGGAAAAAAAUGCUGCUCCACCCCACUUAUGCCAACAAAGACCAAGUUAUGAGCUUAAAUGUCCACCCUUAAUUUGCAGGUUCUCCCUCUGCCUGCCACCCCACCCAGCAAGGAGGAGAGGAAGUGUUGAGAAGGGAAGUGAGAAAGGGGAGGCUCAGAGAGGGGAAGUAACUGCUGCAUAGUCACACAGCUGGAGAGUGACAAGGUCCAUGUUCAAACCAAGGGCUGAUGCCAAAGUCCAAGCUUGAACCACACUGCAAUGCUGCCCAUUUGUGCACUAUUCCAUCUGCGUAUCCAGCAGCAAAAUACAAUUCUGCUCAGAAUAAUGAACCUAAUGUUCUGAAGGCACCAGAAGGUUGUGGAAGUAUUGACCUAUCUCUAGUUAGCAUCUGCUCACCAGGACCCCUGAGACUGUGGAGGGGGUAACUCAGCAGAAGGACCAGGGCUAACAGGGACUGAAUCCUUACCACAUACCAGGGCCCGUUCCAAACACUUUGCAUGUUUUAAAUUGCUUUAACUUCUCACACUCAGCAGCCACUCGGGAGUUGGGAAACAAUCUCCUGGGGUUUGUGCUGGCGUGAUUAAGGAAAGAGGCCACUUACAGGCCUUUGUCUAAAGCCUCGCGCCGGUGGUGGCUGGGGUCAGGAAAGCUGGGAGGUUCAACUACGGGCGAGAAAAUUGGGGCACUUUCCACGUCUCUCCCGAAAAUAAAAGAAAGGAUGCCGGGCACGGCGGCUCACGCCUGUAAUCCCAGCACUUUGGGAGGCCGAGGCGGGCGGAUCACCUGAGGUCAGGAAUUCGACACCAGCCUGGGCAACACGGUUCUGAAGCAACACUGUAACUGCUGAAUGCUUCUGGCUGCUUCUUUCCACAGUAAAAGGUGAAAAGAAAUAUCUUUUAUUGAGAUAGACUGAGGUCCAGGAAAAACAAGUGCAACUUCAUGGUCCUUUUCUUCAUAUUCUGGAAUACAAGAAAACGUGUAAAUGUUUGCAAAUUCAGGUGCUAAGAGUUUUGCAUGUAUAGCAGUACUUUUACCAUCUGUUUCAUUUGGAUGUUUAAUGAUGUCAAUCUUUACAUUUUCAACUGGAAUGUAACAUGUAGAGCAGUAGAACAUUCUGGAACCACCACAUUUGAGACAUUUUGAUCUCCCACUUUGCUGAGCUUUUUGAAGAACUU